Salvia splendens (bonfire salvia) is the source of this 1170-nucleotide long non-coding RNA. RefSeq lists it as uncharacterized. NCBI's taxonomy places the organism in Eukaryota, Viridiplantae, Streptophyta, Magnoliopsida, Lamiales, Lamiaceae. The transcript is spliced from 3 exons. The record is from RefSeq and is a predicted model, not a curated record.
CUAACACACCGACCCUUCUAGAACACAGUACACACUUUUUCACAUGAAAAACACAACUCUACGCAUACCCACUACUUUUCACAAACCCACAUGAGCAGCCCAUUUUCCAGCCACUUCCGGCCGUUGCCCACCACCUCUCCGGCGACGCCUUGGCUGCCAGCAGCCCCUCUUCUUCUCCCUCCUCAUGGUUUCUUCAUCCUCAUCUUUUCCUACCUCCAUUGAAGAUGAUUCAAGGUAGAAGUUUUUUUCCGAACUCAAGUUUCUUGCAAAUUAAGUGCUAGGAGCGGCGCAUCCAAGGCUCGAGGAUGGACAACCGAACUAAGCUUGAAGAGGUUAUUUUGGAUUACAGCUUUCGAGGUGGGGUUUACUUUAUCUGUAAGCGUAGUGGUUACAUGGUUAUAAUCAUUGUUGUGUCGUGCGCCAUUCAUAUGAGCUUAUGAGCACACGAGGGGUCAGAUCCACGAGGGAAAAAAUAUGGGUCGCUGGCAGCCCACCAAUAGCCCACGAGGGGUCAGGUCCACGAGGGACCGAGACUAGUUUCCUAUAGAUGUCAGCAAAGUGGAGAUGGUUCAUUAUGUUAUGAUUCAUUACACAAUUGGUUAUAACUGCUUGCAGCUAUUCUCCACUGAGUGUGCUUGCAUACUCACACCUGUUAUUUAAUGUUUUUCAGGUUAAGGAGUCAGUGACGAGGCAGCGGUCAACGUGGUCCACGGUCUCCCAGCCCAAUAUUUGACUAGUAUCCAUUUUGGUGAUUAUGGAUCUUCACAACACUGUCGCGCUAAUGGCGGUGCUGGAUGCUAUUAUGGGGUCCUCCUUCGCUGCGGUUCUGCUCUUCUUCCUCCUUGUCUUCACUCCACUGGGCGACUCGCUUGCAGCAUCGGGGCGGCAGACGCUGCUCCGCUCGGAUCCGCGGCACCGGGGGCGAUUGGUGGCGCUUGUGGAGCAGGGGCGUCAGGCGGUGGCCAUCGACGCUUGCCCCACCGAUAUGGUGGAUCACAUGCCCAGUGAGGAUCCCAGAAUUAACAGCCAGCUCUCGCUGUCAUUAUAGGUGAAGAGAUUUUCUCCUCCAACACAAAAAUGUGUGGUGGAGAUUUAGUUAUAGGAUUAUCACAUAAAUUGUGGUUAUCAUUAUAACACACCUAUAUAUAUAUAUAUAUAUAUAUAUAUAUA